This 1486-nucleotide ribosomal RNA is filed under the name Escherichia coli. RNAcentral describes it as "bacterial LSU rRNA". It matches the Rfam family "Bacterial large subunit ribosomal RNA", at positions 1447 to 2910 of the family's 2925-position model. The record is from RNAcentral. Lineage: Bacteria; Pseudomonadati; Pseudomonadota; Gammaproteobacteria; Enterobacterales; Enterobacteriaceae.
GCUGGUAGUAGUCAAGCGAAGGGGUGACGCAGGAAGGUAGCCGUACCAGUCAGUGGUAACACUGGGGCAAGCCGGUAGGGAGAGCGAUAGGCAAAUCCGUCGCUCACUAAUCCUGAGAGGUGACGCAUAGCCGGUUGAGGCGAAUUCGGUGAUCCUCUGCUGCCAAGAAAAGCCUCUAGCGAGCACACACACGGCCCGUACCCCAAACCGACACAGGUGGUCAGGUAGAGCAUACCAAGGCGUACGAGAUAACUAUGGUUAAGGAACUCGGCAAAAUGCCCCCGUAACUUCGGGAGAAGGGGGACCGGAAUAUCGUGAACACCCUUGCGGUGGGAGCGGGAUCCGGUCGCAGAAACCAGUGAGGAGCGACUGUUUACUAAAAACACAGGUCCGUGCGAAGUCGCAAGACGAUGUAUACGGACUGACGCCUGCCCGGUGCUGGAAGGUUAAGAGGACCCGUUAACCCGCAAGGGUGAAGCGGAGAAUUUAAGCCCCAGUAAACGGCGGUGGUAACUAUAACCAUCCUAAGGUAGCGAAAUUCCUUGUCGGGUAAGUUCCGACCUGCACGAAUGGCGUAACGACUUCUCAACUGUCUCAACCAUAGACUCGGCGAAAUUGCACUACGAGUAAAGAUGCUCGUUACGCGCGGCAGGACGAAAAGACCCCGGGACCUUCACUACAACUUGGUAUUGAUGUUCGGUACGGUUUGUGUAGGAUAGGUGGGAGACUGUGAAACCUCGACGCCAGUUGGGGCGGAGUCGUUGUUGAAAUACCACUCUGAUCGUAUUGGGCAUCUAACCUCGAACCCUGAAUCGGGUUUAGGGACAGUGCCUGGCGGGUAGUUUAACUGGGGCGGUUGCCUCCUAAAAUGUAACGGAGGCGCCCAAAGGUUCCCUCAACCUGGACGGCAAUCAGGUGGCGAGUGUAAAUGCACAAGGGAGCUUGACUGCGAGACUUACAAGUCAAGCAGGGACGAAAGUCGGGAUUAGUGAUCCGGCACCCCCGAGUGGAAGGGGUGUCGCUCAACGGAUAAAAGGUACCCCGGGGAUAACAGGCUGAUCUUCCCCAAGAGUCCAUAUCGACGGGAUGGUUUGGCACCUCGAUGUCGGCUCGUCGCAUCCUGGGGCUGGAGCAGGUCCCAAGGGUUGGGCUGUUCGCCCAUUAAAGCGGCACGCGAGCUGGGUUUAGAACGUCGUGAGACAGUUCGGUCUCUAUCCGCCGCGCGCGUCAGAAACUUGAGGAAACCUGUCCCUAGUACGAGAGGACCGGGACGGACGAACCUCUGGUGCACCAGUUGUCCCGCCAGGGGCACCGCUGGAUAGCCACGUUCGGUCAGGAUAACCGCUGAAAGCAUCUAAGCGGGAAACCUUCUCCAAGAUCAGGUUUCUCACCCACUUGGUGGGAUAAGGCCCCCCGCAGAACACGGGUUCAAUAGGUCAGACCUGGAAGCUCAGUAAUGGGUGUAGGGAACUGGUGCUAACCGGCC